GUUGAUCAGGGCCCUAUUCCCUAUAUAGUACACUACUGUUGACCAGGGCCCUAUUCCCUAUAUAGUACACUAAUUUUGAUCAGAGGCCUAUUCCCUAUAUAGUGCACUAAUUUUGAUCAGAGGCCUGUGAGGAAUAGGGGGCCAAUUGGGACGCAGACUGUAUGUGAAACUGAUCAGUUUUUAAAUGUUUCUGCGGUUCUUAUUGGUUGUCUGAUUCUCUGACCAUGUCUGUGGUUGUUAUGGUUACCGUCUGAUCCAGUUCAUACAGACUGUUUUGGUUGUUGUUUCUUUGUUCUGUUUAUCUCUCUCUCUUUUUGUGGUUUAACUGUCUGUGGUCAGGUUCUGGCCAAUCAGAUGGGUCCGUGGUCAGGUUCUGGCCAAUCAGAUGGGUCAGGUUCUGGCCAAUCAGAUGGGUCAGGUUCUGGCCAAUCAGAUGGGUCAGGUUCUGGCCAAUCAGAUGGGUCCGG
Oncorhynchus tshawytscha (Chinook salmon) is the source of this 467-nucleotide long non-coding RNA. NCBI's taxonomy places the organism in Eukaryota, Metazoa, Chordata, Actinopteri, Salmoniformes, Salmonidae. The record is from Ensembl.